This 85-nucleotide transfer RNA is filed under the name Armillaria luteobubalina. RNAcentral's name for it is "tRNA-Ile". The record is from RNAcentral. Lineage: Eukaryota; Fungi; Basidiomycota; Agaricomycetes; Agaricales; Physalacriaceae.
CCACUCUUGGCUCAGUUGGCAGAGCGCUCCACUUAUCUUCUUCGAGGGUUCAUGGAAGUCAGUCGUUCAAAUCGGCUAGCGGGAA